UACGGAAGGCAGCAGUGGGGAAUAUUGCACAAUGGGCGCAAGCCUGAUGCAGCCAUGCCGCGUGUAUGAAAAAGGCCUUCGGGUUGUAAAGUACUUUCAGUCGUGAGGAAGGUGUUAAGGUUAAUAACCUUAGCAAUUGACGUUAGCGACAGAAGAAGCACCGGCUAACUCCGUGCCAGCAGCCGCGGUAAUACGGAGGGUGCGAGCGUUAAUCGGAAUUACUGGGCGUAAAGGGCACGCAGGCGGUUAAUUAAGUUGGAUGUGAAAUCCCCGGGCUUAACCUGGGAAUGGCAUUCAAGACUGGUUAGCUAGAGUCUUGUAGAGGGGGUAGAAUUCCAUGUGUAGCGGUGAAAUGCGUAGAGAUGUGGAGGAAUACCGGUGGCGAAGGCGGCCCCUGGACAAAGACUGACGCUCGAUGUGCGAAAGCGUGGGGAGCAAACAGGGAUUAGAUACCCG
This 456-nucleotide ribosomal RNA is filed under the name uncultured bacterium. RNAcentral describes it as "bacterial SSU rRNA". It matches the Rfam family "Bacterial small subunit ribosomal RNA", at positions 340 to 788 of the family's 1533-position model. The record is from RNAcentral.